Oryza sativa Japonica Group (Japanese rice) is the source of this 1782-nucleotide non-coding RNA. The record is from RefSeq and is a predicted model, not a curated record. NCBI's taxonomy places the organism in Eukaryota, Viridiplantae, Streptophyta, Magnoliopsida, Poales, Poaceae.
CUCUCCUACCCAAUCCGAUUGAUCCGCCGCCUCCCGUGCUCGGAUCGGUGCUUGAUCCGUAGAACGGCCUUCCGCCCCCUUCAUCUCAUCUGGGCUUGACGCAGCCGCACUCGGAUGAGCUGCUGCUGGUUGCUUUUUUUUUUUUACCUCGCCAUUUGAUCGCUGCACAGAGAUCGAAGGGAGGGCCUGCCAUGGCCGCUCAACGUACUCCCGCCCCCUCUCCGCCCUCCACUGCCUUCUACACAUCGGCUCCUCCCUCUCCACUCCCCCGCUUUUGCACCCACCACCGCAUCCCCCGCCCGGAGACCGGCAACGACGGAGGGUUAGCUUCGACGAGCGACCGACCACGAGAUAUGAUAUGAGUUCAUCUGCGCCUUCCCUCACAGCGUCCACCUGCUGAUCAUCCUCCAAAACCCGGCGGAAUGGUAAAGCCGCCUACCUCUUGCGUCCGCCUGAGGGAUGCAGUCGCUGAACAUGUGUUGCUCAUGUUUGAUCAUUGGCAUGCUUUGCGUGAAGCUUCCUGAUUGUAGCAAUUCGUUUAAUGCGGUUUCAAAUCGAAGUGAUUUAAUAUUUUUUUCCCAUGUUAAUUCGUUUUAGAGUUCAAACCGAAACAUCAUUUUAGAGAGAUUUUUAUUUUGUAGUUUAUAGAGGAUUACAAUGUUUCUGCAUAUAUAGGUAAAACAUGAAUGCAUUUAAACACCAUUGUAAAUUUCCCAAUGACGAAUGGAAUCAUGAGAAUAUAUCCAAUUUUUUCUUCUAUUGCUGGGGCGAAAGUUAAUAUUAUAGUAGGUUCUCAUGUUUGGGCUGAAGACCCUGAACUUGCCUGGGUCGAUGGAGAAGUUGUUAAGAUCAAAGGCGAAGAGGCCAAGAUCCAAGCAACCAAUGGAAAGAAGAUCAUUGCAGCUGCUGGUGGAGUUGAUGAUAUGACAAAGCUAUCAUACCUCCAUGAACCAGGAGUUCUGCAGAAUUUGGCAACCAGAUAUGAACUUAAUGAAAUAUAUAUAUGUUAUUCUGCAUGGCCAUUUACUGUAAAUAUGCCAUUGUUUCAGUCGUACUGUAUGACCUAUAACUUUAACAUUUUGACAGACAUAUACGGGAAACAUUCUCAUUGCCGUCAAUCCUUUCCAAAGAUUGCCAUAUUUGUAUGAUCCACAUAUGAUGCAACAGUACAAGGGAGCACCAUUUGGAGAGUUAAGUCCACAUGUUUCGCUAUGGCAGAUGUUGCAUACAGAGCAAUGAUUCAUGAAGGGAAAAGCAACUCUAUUCUUGUGAGUGGUGAGAGCGGCGUGGGUAAAACAGAAACAACAAAAUGCUUAUGAGAUAUCUUGCCUAUUUGGGUGGCCGAGCUGCUACCGAGGGAAGAAUAGUAGAGCAACAAGUUCUCGAAUCAAAUCCAGUCCUUGAAGCCCGAUCCGUAGAUCGGCCCCUGCCCCCUUCAUCUUAUUUGGGCUUGACGCAGCCGCACUCGGCACUCGGAUGAGCUGCUGCUGGUUGCUUUUUUUUUUUUAUACCUCGCCAUUUGAUCGCUGCUUUACUUACCUAUUCAAGCGUAGCGGGAUGGUAAAUUGUUCAUACAUCGUGGCUGGGUAGGUGGUGCGCCAUGGUUGUGGUGGUUGCUUGCGUUUGGGGAGGAAUUGUGAGUGUUGCACAUGGAUAGGAAUGACUACUAUGAAAGAGAUUCCACCUCGCUCAUCGUUAACCAGGUAAGCAAUUGCAAUAAACUUAAUUUGAGCAGUAGAGAGUCUCUAUAUCUGUGUGCUCAUAUCAUGUCAAGGAAUGCUU